Long non-coding RNA from Triticum dicoccoides, 515 nucleotides. RefSeq lists it as uncharacterized. The record is from RefSeq and is a predicted model, not a curated record. Lineage: Eukaryota; Viridiplantae; Streptophyta; Magnoliopsida; Poales; Poaceae. The transcript has 2 exons.
GAGAGGAUGGGCACGGCAAACAGAACUUGAACGCCGGAUGGAUGGAUACUGGCGCUGCCGGGCGCAGACAUCAUUCUCCUCCUGGCCGAGCUCCUCCACAACACCCCGUCUGCAACCCAUGUUUGAUGUGCCGCAGGCUGGAUGGGGACGCGUGGACCUCCUGCUCCUCCCGACCAAGCUUGAUUGUGUGUGCGACCUGCUGACGGCGCUCGGGGUGUUUGAGCUUUGAGGUAGGAUAGCAGGAGCGGUGACUAGCAUCAAGGAGGAGCAGCAAGAAGCAGCGACAACUAGCUAGCUGCUAGCAUGCGCCCCUCUCUCUCUCAUGUACAUGGAUUUGUAAUGGGAAAGUACUUUCUCGGUUCUUUCUUUAGUGUGAACCAUCUUUUGCUAUUCAUGAGCAUCCACCCACAACCUGUUUGAUGUUAUGCGUACAACAGACUGAGACACAUUUUAAUUUUCUGGUCAAACUCUUACCUCUAUUUAGAAAAUGAAAAUGAAGAAGCAUGUGUAUCUGA